UGUGGAGGAAAUUCCUAUAAGCUGGAAUAACUGCCUUCUCUCUGAGUACCCUUCCAAUGCUGAGAUUCUGUGACUCAACAACUAAUAAUAAUAAUAAUAAUAAUAAUAAUAAUGCUUCUACAGCAUUUCAAGGAUUACACAUUUAAUUCCAUACAACUCUAUUAUAUAGAUAAUGCAAGUAUUGCCUCCAUUUUAUAGAUAGGGAAACUGAGGUUUGAGGUAAAGGAACUUGCCCAAGGUCAUACAAUUAGUAAGGGACAGGGCCACAGCUCAAACCCAGAGCUCUCUGACUCUUAGGUCCUUAACUUGGGCUCUGCUAACUGGGUUUUUUUAAAAGAUAUUUUUAUAACUGUAUUUCAAUAAAAUUGUCUUCCUUUAUAAUUUUAUGUAUUUUAUUUUAUGCAUCUAGAAACAUGAUUCUGAGAAGGGGAAAUGAAAGUAAAUAAGCAUUUAUAUAGCACCUACUAUGUGCCAAGCACUGUUCUGAGCACUUUAUAAAUAUUUCAUUUGAUCCUCACAACCCUGAAAAAUAGAUGGUACUUUCCCCCCAUUUUAACAGAAGAGGAAACUGAGGCAAGUAAAGGUUAAAUGACUUGUCCAGGGUCACACAACUAGUAAAGGUAUGAGACCAGAUUUUAAUUCAGUUCCCCCUCACCCCAGGACCAGCACUGUAUUUACUAUACCACUUCUAACAGAAAUCUAUGGGCUUCACCAAACUGAGUGCCAAAGUUCAAAAUAGGUGAAGAACCCUGCUCUAAACCCAGUGAUCUUUGCAAUGAGCCACAGACUCAGUGGGGGCUGACAGCCAGUGGAACUUGGUGUGCCCCUGGGGAGAGAAAGAAGAGGACAGUGACUCUAAGGGAUUCUAAGUAGAGAAAUAUCUGUCCCUGAAGUGUCACUAGCAGGAAGAAGCUCUGGAAGAACAGGCAGGUAGUCUUGAAGAGGGAGAGGAAGAGAGAAAGGCACUGGGGAAUGUGGAAGAGAAGAGGGCAUGAGGAAAGACCAAGGCAUGUUAAUGAGCCUGGCUUAUGGACCAGGUGGUGCAAUGCCUGGCCUCAAUUCAGGAAGACACCUUUCUGAGUUCAAAUCUGGCCUCAGACACUUGCUAGCUGUGUGAUCCCAGGACUUAGCCCUCUUUACCUCAGUUUCCUCAUCUGUAAAAUGAUCUGGAGAAGGAAAUAGUAAACAACUUCAGUAUCUUUGCCAAGAAAACUCCAAAUGGGACCACUGAGAGUCAAACUAAAAUGACAGAACACCAACAACUAUGCAUCAAAAGAAAUUGUUAUUAAUUAAAGUUAAUUAAAAGAAUUCUAAGAAAGCAAGGAGAGGAGGCUAGGGAGGGUUUUAGACAAGCCUGGGAGAGCCCUGAAUGCAAUGGUGAAUCUAUCCUUUCUCCUGUGAAUCAUUUGAAACAAUGGUAGUUCCCUGAGAAGGUAGACUAUCGACUCAAGUCCUGUGUGUCUGUAGGAGGGAUGAAGAAGAAGCAACUGGAGAUAGGUGAGGAAUCCACUACAAUCAUCAAGUCAGGAAGGGUAGAGGUGUGAGCUCUUAUGGGUGGCCUUGGAGACAGAGAAGCAGGCUCUUAUCCUCUAUCCCCAGUUCUAUCAGUGUCUCUUCUCCUCCUCUUUCUGUACCUCUGUGUGUGACCCUCUAUACUUGGAAUCUCUCUCUGCCCUGUCUCUGUAUCUCCUGCACAUGAAGGGCUAAGACUAGAGACAGGGAGGCUGGUAAGGUAGCCACUCUAAUCAUCUGAUGAGGCUAAGGUCUGAGCUCAAGCAAAAGCCACAGCGAUGGAGAAAAAGAGACGAAUGACAGGAUUUCAGGAGUGACUGGAGGUGAGAAUGAGGAAAAGAGUCAGAAAUAGCCCAGAAAGUCAGAGGCGGUCCAUGGGGCUAGUGACAGAGCUAAAGUAUGUCAGAACAGAGGGAGAUUUAGAGGAAGAAAACAGUCUGUAUGGGAUACAGAGAUAGAAAGAGAUGGCUGGAAGGAUGAUGGAUCUACCAGGAAACUGGUGAGGGGACCCGGAGCAAUGAAAGGAACUGGGGGAUGUUUGGGAACUGGGAAGACAUGAUUGUUCUCUUCUAGGGCUUAAAGCACUAUCAUGUCUAAGAGAAGAUUAGAAUUGUUCUGCUUGGCCCCAGAGGGCAGAACAGGGAGCAAUAGAGGGGAAAGUCUAGGUGUUGCAGAGAGACAGAUUAAGGCAGAUCAUAAGGAAAACCAUCCUAACCAUAUAAGCCAUCCCAAAGUGGGAUAUAUUGUCUCUGUGAGGUCCCCAUCACAGGGUUCUGGAUGAUACUUGUCAAGGAUGUUGCAGGAAGGAUUCCAGCAGUGUACAGGCUGGACAUCCAGCCCUCUGAGGUCCCCUCCAGCUGGGAGAUUCUGCCACUUAAUCUUCCCAUCCCUGGCUGUGUGUGGUGGGCAGAUUGAUCUGCCCUUCUAUCUCUCUCUCUCUUCCCCCUACCCUCCAUGGGAAUUAUUUUUAGCCAUUCUCCCCCUCCCUACCAUGCACACCUUCCCUGAGAGGUCACAAUAGUCACAAAGCUCUUGUUGUGAUGGUUACGGGACACAGUGGGGAACUGGGAACCGAUGAACACGUCAGCUGAGCUCAUUAUGAAGAUCAUGUUAAUUAGUCCCUAUUAUUGUUAAUAAUGCCAACAGCACCUGUCAUCAGCUCAGCUAAGGUGCCCCCCUCCAAGGGGGUGGAGCUGCAUGCUCCUCAAAAGCCCAGGAACUCUAGCCUUCCCAUUGGCUCACUACCUUCAGGAGCCUUCUUAGGUUCCAGAUUUGGAACUCUCUUAAUGUCUCAUAUAAGCUUCUGGUCCUGCCAGUAGGAGGCAAAGGGUGAAGGGAGGAAGAAAGGAAGAGGAUUCCAUCCUAAAGUUCAGAGAGAUCUUAUAAGAGAAUUUGCACCAUCAUAAAAAGAACCUUCACCAACCUCAAGCCAAGCCUAAAGGCAAAUCUGUGACCUGCUCAUGUUGGCACAUCCGCCGCCACCACCUUCAACUCCCUUUCAUGACAUUCAUCAAGCUUUGCCUGAUAAUCGCUGAGCACCCUGUGCUGAGCUCCAACUCUGGGAAAUAAGAGGAGGACCAAAACCCUUCACCCUGCCCUCAGGGAGCGCCCAGUCUGGGAAGACGAUCUGACAGUCACACAUCAAACUCCCAUGGAAAGAGUGUUGAAUGUAGAGUCA
Monodelphis domestica (gray short-tailed opossum) is the source of this 3190-nucleotide long non-coding RNA. RefSeq lists it as uncharacterized. NCBI's taxonomy places the organism in Eukaryota, Metazoa, Chordata, Mammalia, Didelphimorphia, Didelphidae. The record is from RefSeq and is a predicted model, not a curated record.